CUCAACCUGGUGCAUAUCACGUGACUGUUCUGAUGCGUUUGUCCCGUCCUGCCCUUUUUCAGGUCAGCAGAUGUUAUUGCCUCCACCACCUGCAUAUGAGUCAACACCACACAGGAAACCUGCCAGUCGCCCAGAGCUGGAUGAGUCGAUUGUGACGCAAGCUCGGCCUGCCACUUCUUGGGACCCAGUUGAAGACCUCAUCGCACAGAGGGAGACCAUGGAGACGGAAAUGAGAGCCAUGAGGGCAUCCA
RNAcentral lists this long non-coding RNA (251 nucleotides) under Sander lucioperca (pikeperch). RNAcentral describes it as "lncRNA (ENSSLUG00000020402.1)". The record is from RNAcentral. Lineage: Eukaryota; Metazoa; Chordata; Actinopteri; Perciformes; Percidae.